This 485-nucleotide ribosomal RNA is filed under the name Silvastella fuscofasciata. RNAcentral describes it as "partial 16S ribosomal RNA". It matches the Rfam family "Bacterial large subunit ribosomal RNA", at positions 1832 to 2582 of the family's 2925-position model. The record is from RNAcentral. Lineage: Eukaryota; Metazoa; Arthropoda; Insecta; Orthoptera; Phalangopsidae.
CUUCAUGGGUUGUUUUGAAGUUGUGCCUGCCCACUGAUGAUUGAAGGGCCGCGGUACUUUGACCGUGCAAAGGUAGCAUAAUCAUUAGUCUUUUAAUUUUGGACUGGAAUGAAAGGUUUGACGAGAUAAACGCUGUCUUUAUGGUAAAAGAUGAAUUUCACUUUUGAGUUAAAAGGCUCAAUUGAGGAUAAGGGACGAGAAGACCCUAUAGAUCUUUAUUGUUUAAAUUUUAUUUUUAAUUUAGAUGUUGAUGGGAAUAGAGGUUGAGUGAUUUAAUUGGGGUGAUGUGAGAAUUUUAUUAACUUCUUUUUUAUUUGUAUUUUGAUUGAUAGUUUAUUGAUCCUUUAAUAUGGAUUUAAGAUUAAGAUACCUUAGGGAUAACAGCGUUAUUUUGUUUGAGAGUUCUUAUUGACAACGAAGAUUGCGACCUCGAUGUUGGAUUAAGAUUAAAUUUUGGUGUAGUGGCUAAUUGAUUUGGUCUGUUC